Molecule: RNA transcript, 2779 nt
Organism: Orcinus orca (killer whale)
Lineage: Eukaryota; Metazoa; Chordata; Mammalia; Artiodactyla; Delphinidae
Gene: HS3ST1
Gene name: heparan sulfate-glucosamine 3-sulfotransferase 1
Exons: 3
Source: RefSeq, a predicted model, not a curated record
GGGCUCGGGGUUCGGACCUACCUUUCCCUAGCAAGAGUGACGGAGUAGACAGGACUUCCCAGGUUUGCAGCGACGGCAGAGUCACCCAACCCACAACAGACCCCUUCCUCCCGGUAGCGCUGGUCCCCUCCCCAACCCCCCAUCCCCACCCCCCAGCCUCCCGGGACUAAAACCCGAGGAACUGCCGUGUCAGGUGGGCGGGACUGACUCUUUCAAUACCUAUCGGCGGGAGUCCUCAGCCCAGCCCCGCCGCCGCGAGCGCUAAGUAGCUAGCCGGUCACCGAGCGGACCCGACUCGGGGCAGCACCGGCGCGGGCCGGGCAGCAGUGGGCGCUCGCGAUCCUCCUCUGCCCAACGCGCUCUCUCUCAGCGCCCGCCUCCUCCGUCCCCUCCUCCCUCUCCUGCCCCUCCUCCUGCCCCUCCCCUCCUCGGGUCUGAUAACCUAGCCUCGCGCCUGCAAAGUCCCCGGCUCGCGGGCAGCCACGAACCUCCGCCACUGCCUGGUCUCAGUGGGUGCCUGCGCCCGUGCCUCACCCGCCUGCCCAGGUCGUCUCGAGGCUCGCUCCGCCGGCCGCCGGUGCUCCACGGCGCUGCCCAUGGCCAAGCCCGAGAGCCGACUUCGGGCGCCAGACCUGCUGGAAGGUGGCGCGGCUCAGAUGAAAAGAAAAUAAGCUCAGCGAAGGAAAGUGACUUGCCCAAGGGCACACAGGAAUAUGUGGACAGCUGGCUCCUCAUUUAGAGCAGGGCAAGGAGAGUUCCGGCUGCCUGUCCUGCAGGGCCAGGGGGAGGAUGGAUGAGAGAGUGGAUAAUAAACGUCAGUGCUGCUGUCGGCUCUCAGCGGAGGGCACCAACUGUGUCAGUGAACAGCAUCACUCUGCUCUUCCCUAACAGAAGCAUAAAUAUGGCCCUUCUCUGCAAUGAGCAAUUUCCUUAGCUCUGCUGACACAACGGGAAAUAUCCUCAGCGAGAAAAUUAAAUAUUGGUGUCACAGGACUAUUAGAGAAGCAAAUAGCAUCCCACACUUCCUCCUCCCUCCCUCCUUUUGCAUCUCCACCUUUUCUCAGGCUGGCAUGAAGCCCUGAAGAGGGUCCCAGGUCCCAGCUAUGAAAGUGAAGAUUUUUGAGAUGUCUGGGACUCGGCUUUGUAAGGAGGUCCCGGAGCUUGUGCUCAGCGAUGUGAGAAACAUAGACAGCGUCAGGGAUAACCCUGCCCUCAUGGAGUUCACAGUCUGCCAGGCACAAGAACCCACAUGCCUGACUCCCCAGCCCGUACUUCAGAGAAUCAUCACAUUUUGGACUGUGAAACACCUUUUUAAAAGUCUGUUUUGCAACCACCACGGGAGAGUGCUUAUCAAUUAAAUAUCCAAGUAUUGAAAAAAAAUACAAGACUGUCAUGUAUUAAUAAAAAUGUAAAAUGAGUCAGGAUUUUAUUUCACAAACCAUCAUUAAUAUGCAUUUGAAAAAAUAUUAGAACUUAUAAAGGGCAAGGUAUUUUAUCUGGGGUAGAGACAAAACGUAGUACAUAUAUGGUUCAAGAGCUCUUGAAAUCACUCUAUGCCUCCCAUCCCCAUGGCCUACACGUUGAGAAUUACACAAAAAACAAGAAAAAAACAAAACAGUCCCUAGAGGGACUCCUGCCUUCUUUGUCUCUUGAAGAAAGGUUAGAAUAACCAAUACAUUUUGUGAUGAUGAGGUGAACCCAUAAAAGGAAUGAUGUCUCCAAAGCUCUACAGGGAUACCCAGGGCCUCAAUGACACGCACAGAGGGAUAGCAGGUAAUUUAGAAAUAGAGGGUGGAGCUGCUCCCCAAAUGUAACAUUACAAGUUAAUCCCAUGGAUGGGAAAGAGAGAACUGUAGAAACUAAUGCAGAAACUAAGAAACUGUAGAAACUAAGAUCACCAAAAAUUAACCGAAGUUAAUCUCUAUAGUCAGUGUGGCAUGCUCUGCUCUGUUGAGGAAGGAGAGAUGAAAUGGUGGCAACAUAUUUUACACUAGAUUUGUUAAUUUUUGCUUCUGCUUUUGCUCAAAAUAUACACAUCUGACAAAACCUAACAUCUAAAGGUCUGUUGAAGUAGAAAGCUGAGCUUUUGGGAUGAGAGUAUAAAAUUCAUCUGGAGAUAAAUUUUUAGUUUUCACUCUUGACUGAUGCUCAGAUACUUAUGUGAGGACGGAAGGAAGUAUCUGAUGUGGUUUUGGAUGGAACAGAUUCGACAUUCCAGGUGAGGGCUCAUGCCAUAUAGGAAAAGAGCACUUGCAAAUACUAGACACUGUGUGUUGAAGCCGUCGCUGUCACACCCACUCCAAGCUAUGAUUUCUCACGUGGGCAUAAGAAUAGCCUCCUAAUUGGUCUCAGUACCUUCAUCUCCCUCCCUAUGCCCCACCCCACUGCCAUCAUACACCAUCUAUGCAAAAGCCAGAGAGAGUUUUUAAACUUUCUUUUCGGAUCACAACACUCCUCUGCUGACCUGGCUGCAAAGCCCUCCCUAAUCUGGGUCCUGUCUUCCUCUCUGACCUCAACAUGACCUCCAUCUCCCUUGCUCCCUGGUUUUCCUUCUGUGCCUCAAACACCCCGACCUUGGGCAUCCUUCUCACCAUUUGGAUUUUAGCUUCAGUCACUUCCUGUGAAAGGCCUGUGCACACCCCUGCCUCUAACAUACUUUUGCUCACAUAGACCAUUUUCUGUCACAUUUCUUUAUUGUAGUGUCUUCCUAGCAGUUGCCUUCAUCUGAACUUACCCUGUUUAUCUAGUUGCUAACUUGUAUGUUGUCUGUGGACACCCU